CCGCUCCGGCGGCAGCGGCCGCUCCCGGAGCUCCGGAGCCGCGGGAUGGCCGGGGAUGGAGCCGGGAUCCCGGGGCAGCCAGCCCUGGACAGCCGGACCCCGGCCAGGCUCCCUCGCUGACGGGGCUGUGUGGGCACAGCCUGGCCCUGCUCCUGUCCCCACGCAGCUGCAGCCAGGAGCUCCGGGCUCCCCCAGGAGCCGAUCCCGAGGGGUUGGCCAUGGAAUAGGCGCUUUUCCAGGUGCCUGGGCACAGCGGGAGGCUGAAGUUGGUUGCCCCGGGGCACUGGAACUCGCCCUGCCCUGGAGCCCCUGGCCUCUGCCAUGAAUGAUGCAUCCACCAUGGAUUAUGAACUGCUCUCCCCAUCCCUGGUGGAGCACCCCGCCGGCGCCGCGGGCAUGGAUGCCGAGCAGAAAACUGUCUUCGCCUUCGUCAUCUUCCUCCUGGUGUUCUUGGUGAUGCUGAUGGUGCGCUGCUUCCGCAUCCUGCUGGACCCCUACAGCCGCAUGCCCGCCUCCUCCUGGACGGACCACAAGGAGGGCUUGGAGAGGGGCCAGUUCGACUACGCCCUGGUGUGAGGGCAGCCCGGGGCGAGCUCCGGGGGUCGCCCCCGCUGGCCCCGGCCCCGGCUCCCCCUUCCUCCGCGGUGCUGCCCCGCAGGGAUGCUCCGGGCAGGGGGGCGAGCAGGGGGGCUCUGGCCCCGGGGAGGUUUUCUAGGGGUUUC
Molecule: long non-coding RNA, 722 nt
Filed under: Taeniopygia guttata (zebra finch)
Lineage: Eukaryota; Metazoa; Chordata; Aves; Passeriformes; Estrildidae
Description: lncRNA (ENSTGUG00000022662.1)
Source: RNAcentral